Molecule: ribosomal RNA, 506 nt
Filed under: uncultured bacterium
Lineage: Bacteria
Description: partial 16S ribosomal RNA
Rfam family: Bacterial small subunit ribosomal RNA
Source: RNAcentral
AUUGAACGCUGGCGGCAGGCCUAACACAUGCAAGUCGGACGGUAGCACAGAGGAGCUUGCUCCUCGGGUGACGAGUGGCGGACGGGUGAGUAAUGUCUGGGGAUCUGCCCGAUAGAGGGGGAUAACUACUGGAAACGGUGGCUAAUACCGCAUAACGUCGCCAGACCAAAUAGGGGGACCUUCGGGCCUCCCGAUAUCGGAUGAACCCAGAGUGGAUUAGCUAGUAGGCGGGGUGACGGCCCACCUAGGCGACGAUCCCUAGCUGGUCUGAGAGGAUGACCAGCCACACUGGAACUGAGACACGGUCCAGACUCCUACGGGAGGCAGCAGUGGGGAAUAUUGCACAAUGGGCGCAAGCCUGAUGCAGCCAUGCCGCGUGUAUGAAGAAGGCCUUCGGGUUGUAAAGUACUUUCAGCGGGGAGGAAGGCAAUGUAGUUAAUAACCGCAUUGAUUGACGUUACCCGCAGAAGAAGCACCGGCUAACUCCGUGCCAGCCGCCGCCGUAA